Picea glauca (white spruce) is the source of this 121-nucleotide non-coding RNA. The record is from Rfam. NCBI's taxonomy places the organism in Eukaryota, Viridiplantae, Streptophyta, Pinopsida, Pinales, Pinaceae.
ACAUGCCUACAACAUAGUGUUAAUGAAUCGGAUCCCAUUAGAACUCCGUUGUUAAGCACACUGAGGCUAGAGUAGUACUAGGAUGGGUGACCACUCGAGAAGUCCUAGAGUUUUACAUGCC